CUUCCAAAAUAGGUGGAAAAUGGGGUCUGGGGGUGGACAGAGGCAGAAUCAAAACUGCGGGUUGUGAGUAUAGCUGAGAAUGUAAUUUACAAAGAGGAAGAAGCAAUUGGAAAGAGGAACGGUGGCUGCUGAGGGCAAUUCCCUCUCUAAAGAUCACUAAAUGUUAACUGUUUAAUUGACCAUUUCACACAGAACCAAAGAAAACAAAACCCGAAGCAUGGUAACUGCACUUGUUGAGAAGAUGAAUUAACAAUGGACACCUAGUAGACGUGAUCUUGAUGACAACAUAGACAAAGAGCAGGAGAGUGUCUCUCAGGAUCAUUGGAGCUGAGCGCAAUCCUGCCUUCAUAUUGUGAUCAUAUAAAGCCUCACACAAUAGGGAUCACUGAAUCAAGACUGGGAACACAGCCUGAUUUUAUCUCCUAGCCCAAGGUGUUGGAUGCCACAGGAGUGUUUUCAAGGUUCAUGACUCACUUUGCCUUCAUUUGGGAGAUGGAUCCUCAGCGAGGGUCAUAAUGUCCCCUUUUGACAAUCAGGAACAUUGGAGCCGAGCGCAAACCUGCCUUCAUCCUAUGGACAUACAGAGCCUCACACAGCAGGAGUCACUGAAUCAAGACUGGAACCACAAUCUAAUUUUCCCUCCCUAACCCCGGGUGCUGAAUGAGAUAAAUGGUAGUGGCCCUAACGCCCCCGGCUGAAUCAGCUACCUCAACAUAGACCAAGGAUUUAAUCGGGACCUUCCCAGCCUGUGUGGCUCAGCUACUCACUAUAGCAACACACUAAUAGAUAGUUCUGCUUGGUACUUCACAGCUGAAUAGUUGAUAUUCACAAUUUUGAAUAGUUGAUAGUUCCUGAAAAAAUGAAAAAACCGUCUUGAACUUUUUGCCAAGAGCUUUCGAUUGGUAAUGAAGUGGGGUAUUACAAUUCAUUUGAGUAGUAAUUUUAGAAAACUGAAGUGAAGUGGUUUAGUCACAAAAUGUUUGAUCAAUGGAAUAUUACAUGUGCCCUGAUAACUUCAAUACAACCAUC
Long non-coding RNA from Callorhinchus milii (elephant shark), 1029 nucleotides. RefSeq lists it as uncharacterized. The transcript is spliced from 4 exons. The record is from RefSeq and is a predicted model, not a curated record. NCBI's taxonomy places the organism in Eukaryota, Metazoa, Chordata, Chondrichthyes, Chimaeriformes, Callorhinchidae.